ACGUUGCAUGUAUCAAAGUUGACAUUCUCCGAGAGACAACUGAGCUUCAGAGCUUCUCUCUCUAGAUAAUUUUCGCAACGGAGAAACGGCGGGACAGCCGACGUUGAGGCAGUUUUUACUUCCCAGAUCCCAUCCACAACUACAUCGGCAACAGGUUAAUACCAAAUUUGGCAGUUCCGAUAUCAAGGCCAUGGGCAGUACCUCGAAACCAAGGCCACUUGACAACCACCACAAAGCCGCCGGCGCCACCACCACCAACAACCACCACGUUGGAGCUCCUGCGCUUUCUAAGAUGAUUCGCCAAGACCUUAUCAUGAUGAAAGAGGCCAUGGCAGAGGUUCAGAAGAAGACUGAUCAUAUGAAUGUGCAAAUCAACCGGGUCUGUGAGAGAUUUGAGGAGCUCAAAAAAAGAGGGAAUGAGACU
Non-coding RNA from Camellia sinensis, 424 nucleotides. The record is from RefSeq and is a predicted model, not a curated record. Lineage: Eukaryota; Viridiplantae; Streptophyta; Magnoliopsida; Ericales; Theaceae.